UAACACGUGGGUAACCUGCCCAAGAGAUCGGGAUAACACCUGGAAACAGAUGCUAAUACCGGAUAACAACAGAUGAUGCCUAUCAACUGUUUAAAAGAUGGUUCUGCUAUCACUCUUGGAUGGACCUGCGGUGCAUUAGCUAGUUGGUAGGGUAACGGCCUACCAAGGCGAUGAUGCAUAGCCGGGUUGAGAGACUGAUCGGCCACAUUGGGACGGAGACACGGCCCAAACUCCUACGGGAGGCAGCAGUU
Molecule: ribosomal RNA, 251 nt
Filed under: uncultured Lactobacillus sp.
Lineage: Bacteria; Bacillati; Bacillota; Bacilli; Lactobacillales; Lactobacillaceae
Description: partial 16S ribosomal RNA
Rfam family: Bacterial small subunit ribosomal RNA
Source: RNAcentral